This 253-nucleotide ribosomal RNA is filed under the name uncultured prokaryote. RNAcentral describes it as "partial 16S ribosomal RNA". It matches the Rfam family "Bacterial small subunit ribosomal RNA", at positions 524 to 776 of the family's 1533-position model. The record is from RNAcentral.
GACAGAGGGGGCAAGCGUUGCUCGGAAUUACUGGGCGUAAAGGGCGCGUAGGCGGGAUGGCAAGUCGGUCGUGAAAUCCUUCGGCUCAACCGAAGAACGUCGAUCGAUACUGCUGUUCUUGAGGGUUGCAGAGGAGGCUGGAAUUCCCGGUGUAGCGGUGAAAUGUGUAGAUAUCGGGAGGAACACCAGAGGCGAAGGCGGCGAACUGGACAGCAACUGACACUCAACUGCGAAAGCGUGGGGAGCAAACAGG